RNAcentral lists this ribosomal RNA (492 nucleotides) under uncultured bacterium. RNAcentral describes it as "partial 16S ribosomal RNA". It matches the Rfam family "Bacterial small subunit ribosomal RNA", at positions 29 to 507 of the family's 1533-position model. The record is from RNAcentral.
AGUGAACGCUGGCGGUAGGCCUAACACAUGCAAGUCGAACGGCAGCACAGUAAGCGCUUGCUCUUACGGGUGGCGAGUGGCGGACGGGUGAGGAAUACAUCGGAAUCUACUUUUUCGUGGGGGAUAACGUAGGGAAACUUACGCUAAUACCGCAUACUACCUACGGGUGAAAGCAGGGGAUCUUCGGACCUUUCGCGAUUGAAUGAGCCGAUGUCGGAUUAGCUAGUUGGCGGGGUAAAGGCCCACCAAGGCGACGAUGCGUAGCUGGUCUGAGAGGAUGAUCAGCCACACUGGAACUGAGACACGGUCCAGACUCCUACGGGAGGCAGCAGUGGGGAAUAUUGGACAAUGGGCGCAAGCCUGAUCCAGCAAUACCGCGUGGGUGAAGAAGGCCUUCGGGUUGUAAAGCCCUUUUGUUGGGAAAGAAAAGCAGCAGGUUAAUACCCCGAUGUUCUGACGGUACCCAAAGAAUAAGCACCGGCUAACUUCGUG